Apis florea (little honeybee) is the source of this 2509-nucleotide long non-coding RNA. RefSeq lists it as uncharacterized. Lineage: Eukaryota; Metazoa; Arthropoda; Insecta; Hymenoptera; Apidae. The record is from RefSeq and is a predicted model, not a curated record.
AUGAAAACAUUAUUAAAAUUUAUGUUAUAUUUAUAAUACAAGAUAUUAAAAAAUAACAAUAGCACUUUUAUAAUAAAUUUCAAAUAAUUAGAGCAUAUAUAUGAAUUUUAUUACAUAAAUACAGUGUUUAUUAAAACCAUUAUCGUGAAGGUUACGUGUUGUGUCAUUCAAUCAAAUUUCGUAAAAAUGUGGUUUUAUUUUUUAUUUGCUAUUCUUACAACAUUUGAUUUUGCGAUGGCUUCAUCGAGUUUUGAUUUUGGAGAUACUGUAGCAUUGAUUCUUGGAUUAAUUAUUGGAAUCAUUGGAUUUUUUGCCUGUAUGGGUACUUAUGCACGUCAUCGAAAUCGUAUGGAAACAAUGACAUAAAAAUAAAUACUCCAAAAUUUAAAAAAUAACUAUUCAAUGUUUAUAAAAAAUUAAAAUAUAUACAGUAAAUGAUAAAUAAAAUACUUUUUGAUGAUAAAAGUAAUUUUGAAUUACAUUUAUGAUAUAUAAUAAGAUAUUUUUAUGUAUUAUUAUAAUAUAAUUAUUAAAUAAAUUUUUAUAAAAAUAAUAAUGAUACAUAAAUAUGUAUCAGAAUAUUUAUUAAAAAUAUUAUAUCAUUAAAAAUAUAUUAUUUUUAAAUUUUUUUUUAAUUUUUAUAUGUAACAAGUGAUAUAAAUGUAUUUAACAAUAUACACAUAAAAAGAUUGUAAUAUUUUAAAAUGAUUAUAUAAUAUAGAAAAAUAUUAUUUAUAGUACAUGCAAUACUAAUUAAAAAAAUUAUGUAUUGUUGUCUACAUAAUAUAUUCAUAAAUUUCACAAAUAUACAAUGUUAAUUAACAUCAUAAACUACAUUUUGAUGUAAUUAUUUUUCAAGUAAGGAAUGGAAGAUAAUAUUCUGAGCACAAUUAUUUAAAUUAUUCCAGUUUGAUUAAUUAAUUAAUUGAUUAUUUGAAAUCGCAAAACAACAGUUCAUAACAACAGAAUUUCUAUGUAUCUCUAUUACAACUUCUUUUCAUUAUAUGAUAUAACGAAAAAUUUUAAUUAAUUUUGUUAUUUUUUGUAAUUUUUUUGAAUGCUGAUGCAUAUCUAAUCAGUCUUUACAAAAUUUCUUAUAGAAUUUCACACAACAUAGCUUACAUAAAUUUUUGAAGCAUGUAUGAACUUAUAUACUAGUUAGCAUAGGAAAGCUCUUUGAUUAUUUUUUCUUAAACAUCUUUCACAUUUCUUAUUAUAAGCAAAGUAAUUAAAUAUUAAUAUAAGAUAUUUUAGAAAAUAAUUAAAACUUUGUUUUUUUAAAAAUCUUUUUUUUUUUGUAUAUUUUACUUAAUGAAUUUAAAAUUUUUGUAUAAAGAUAUUUUAAAUAUAGAUAACUUUAAUUAAUUAUAUUAUCCAAGAUAAAGACUUUGUUUUUUUUUCAUUUGAAAUUUGAUAAAGUAAAAUAUUUUAUUAUACAGUACAACAAACAUCUGUUUUUCACAAUUGCAUUUCUAAAAUAUCAAAUGAUAUAUUUAUGUGCUUAAAACAAUAUAUAUGUAAUACAGCUUAUAUGUAUAUAUGUAUAUACAUAUGUACAUACAUACAUACAUGUGUUGUAUCAAUCAACAAAUUGUUUAUAUAUACUUGUAAUUAAUUAUAUGAAUUUAUUAAAUAAAUUAAAUAAUUUUAAUAAAUUAGUUCAUUAAAUUCUGAUCCAUCAAUAUGUACUAAUUUUUGUGUAUGUACUAAUUUUAUGUAUGAUUUUUGUAAAUGUAGCAAAAUAUGAUAUACUUGUUCUUUUCGUCAUAUUUUCUGAAAAAUAUAUAGUAAUACCUAAGUCUGAAUGUACUAAGUUCAAUUCCAUCAAGUUAGAUGCCAUAUUGGUAGAAAAGAAUUAUGAUGAAUUCAUAUUAUUGAUUUUUUCACAUGUAACAGUGCUGUUUGGUAUUCUUUGGUAAAACAAUAAAAAUGUUUUACAAAAAUUCACUCCAAUUAUAUAAUCAUUAUAAUAAUUAUAUAUAAUUAAAAUCACAUUGUAUAUAAUAUAUUUGCAAAAAAGAGAUCUAUUUUAAUGCUAUUAAUGAAAUAAUAUUCAUUUCUAUUGUCUUAUUUUAUUCAUUUCAAUGAAAUUCUCAUUCAAUGAAUAAAUUUGAAAAAUUAGAAAUUAAUUUUUACCAAACUAUAUCACUGUAAAUUAUUAUAUUUAAACAUAAUUUAUUUUCGAAAUUUUAUACUGAGUUUUUAUUAAAUAUAGGAGCUAUAUUGAAAGCCAAUCCACCUAUCAGUAAAUGAAUAAUAUGUACAUUUAGUAUUACAUGUUAUGCAUUUUUUUUUUUUGAGUAUUAUCUAAUAAAUUUAUUUAAAAGUAACUAUAUAAAAAUAAUUGCAAUAUAUUUCCAUAAGAAAUACAUACAAUUAUCUAUAUUAUAAUGUUUCGUUCAACAAUUACAUGAAUUUAUUACUAGGUGGAUUAACUGAAUUUACAGAUUGAAUAAUAAUUCUUUUUUUGAAGAAUAGAUUAAUAAAAUUAUAAUAUAAAACAUAAAAA